This 32-nucleotide ribosomal RNA is filed under the name Choiromyces helanshanensis. RNAcentral's name for it is "partial 28S ribosomal RNA". The record is from RNAcentral. Lineage: Eukaryota; Fungi; Ascomycota; Pezizomycetes; Pezizales; Tuberaceae.
UGACCUCAAAUCAGGUAGGGAUACCCGCUGAA